Long non-coding RNA from Aedes albopictus (Asian tiger mosquito), 14047 nucleotides. RefSeq lists it as uncharacterized. NCBI's taxonomy places the organism in Eukaryota, Metazoa, Arthropoda, Insecta, Diptera, Culicidae. The record is from RefSeq and is a predicted model, not a curated record. The transcript is spliced from 2 exons.
GUUCGUCAAUGUGGUUUUCUGUCUGUAUAUCUUAGAUCAAUAGUGUGUAGUCGAGGAAAUUUCUGCAUCAUUUGUAAUUAUAAAAUUAACUCGAACGGCUGAUUUUAUACCUUGUAACAUAUAUUUUGAAACGUUUUUUGUAAUAUUUGAAGGAUUAAGGCUGGUUUGAAAAAUCUCACGAGCCACGCAUAAUUUUUUGGGUUCUCAUACAAAAAAAAACCUUACAAGGGGCGUCGAAAAAUCGUAAAAAAAAUUACGUAAUAUUGUAAUUUUCCUUUUGUUGCAAGGCUAAAAAUUCGCCAAUUGUUGCACACCUCAUAAGAAUAACAUGGAGUGUGCAACAAUAGGCGAGUUUUUAGCCGUGCAACAAUUGGAAAAUUACCCUAAACAGACAGUCCCUAUGCCCAGGGAGCCGAGCAAAUUUUGAAGACCGGAACGGGAAUCGAACCCGCCGUCUCCGGAUUGGCGAUCCAUAGUCUUUCCACUAGGCUAACUAGACACCCUGCUUCAACUAAGGAAACUGUUGAAGUUUUGGAUGAUUACUUAAUGUCCGGACUGCCAAAAAAUGCUCUGGCUUCUAUCUGUCUUCUUCAACUUAGAAUGGGUAGAACAUAAUAUACCAGUUUUACAUUAUCUCGCUAAAAAUUAAGUGAUCCAAUCAUUAGAAAGUAGGGUGGACGUACCAAUUAUGGCAGUACUAAGGAAAACUAUUUGUACAAAAAUAACGAGAAGACCAACGAAUGUCAUCAAUAUGUUAAAAGAUAGCUAAGUUUCCACACUUUACAGGAAGUAUAUAGAAAUGGAGCCAAAACUACUUUUAGUAUUUAUUACAGUGUGUGCCAAUGAUAGGAACCCUGUACCAAUUAUGGUUACUUUUUUAACUUCGGUUCCUUUUCGCACUAUUUCAGUGGUUUUCAACCAGGGAGAAAUUUCCCCCUAGGGGGGGGGGGGAUUUCGCCCUGCUAAGGGGGGAAUUGUCCACCCAAGGAUAUUAUUUACUUUAAUCAAUUUUCAACACUAAAAUUCAUUGCCAAGCACUUUCUUCCAUGCCCCUACCGACAUCUUUGAGCAUAUAAUCAAAUUUGAAUCAUUGAUAAAAUUAUUAAAAUUGUUGAUUUGAUUAAAUCCAACUCUUUGAAUUGAAGACUUUGUGCCAUUCAUAUUCCAUCCAAUCAGCAUCCAGCAUCCAAAAGCUUAUGUAUAAUAUCAACGUGCGUUGGUUAUCAAAAGGAACUGAAACGGAUUGUAUCUUACGAAUUCAAAUACGAGGUUAAGGUUUUUUUUUUUCACCAAACGUGGAUAUCUUCACAUGUAGAACAAUCCUCAUUGGAAUCUACAUUUAGCCAAUUUUGCUUAUAUUUUCCGACAAUUGAACAAGCUCAAGUUGAAACUUCAAGGGCAGCAAACCAUCAUUACAUCAUUACAUUUUGUGGAUUUUAACAAUGCGUUUUCAAGUAAACUGCAAAAUCUGACGCGGAAAUUCCAAUCACAAUUCGUCAAUGGCUUUCAACUGUUAUCAAUGAAUGACGAAAAAUAGAAAGAGAAAACAUUCCCGAGAAGCAUACCCAAGCAACACACAUGUUAUAUAAAAGUUACGACAGCGCAAGUUCUGGUGGUACAGAAGUUAAUUUGACGUUAUUCUAACAUUAUGAUGGAAUAACAUCGAAUAAACUUCUAUACAACCGAAACUUGCGCUGUCGUAACUUUUAUAUAACCGUUAAAGGGUAAAAAUCAGCUACGGCGAAUGAUUGGUACUAUAACCAUAAUUGGAACACUUACCCUAGUUUACUUUGUUCCAGACGCGCUAACUUGGUCAAAAUAUUGGGGGGCAAAGCCUGUUUUUUUUUCUGAUUUUUUGUAUGGGAAAAUUGUAAAAUCUUCAAUUAUAUGCUUGCCCCCCUAAGUUGGCGCCUAUGCUUUGCUCAUAAUUGUUUUGAAGCCCCACGCGAAUGCACGCCGAGUUCACGCCGAAUGUUCGGCGCACACGUCUAGGGCGCUGUCCAUAAACUACGUAGACUCAUUUUUGAUCAUCUCAGACCCCCCCCCUCCCCUCCCCCCACGUAGACUAUUGUCCAUACAAAGACUUUGGCCAGACCCAUCGUUCCCCCUUAAGAGUCUACGUAGUUUAUGGACAGACCCUAGUGUGUACCAGGGAUGAAAUACAGGCGCCUUUAAUAUAGCGUUGCCUUGCAACCAAAACAAUAAUGAAUAAAAAAAAAGUGUAAAAAUUAGGGUUUGCAAGAAGGAAUCAGGAUAACCGUGCUUGAGCAACAGGAGGCUCCAAGGUCUAUCAGAUUUUUCCGGCGAGUUGACGAUUGCGAUUAGAUGCUGCAAAUUACAUGUGAACGCUGAUGAAUCUGGAAGUUGAAAUCUAUCUAAUCUAUCUCAAUCUGACGGAAAAUCCGUCAGAGCUACUUUCUGGAGUUUCCCUGAAGAGCCUCUCAGGAAUUGUCACAAUUAAGAUUCUUUCCGUAUUGUUUGACGUGUUGUUUUCUUGCUAUUCCUUUGCGAAUUCCUUCGAACUCUUCCAGAGUUAUUGCUCUCAGAGUCCCUCGAGGGAUUGUUCCCGGAGCUCCUUCUGCGAUUUCCCAAAGACACUUUCGUGGGAUUUCUAUCAGGAUUUAUCUCGAGAUCACAAGUAAUUUUCUAAAUAUCGCAGAUAUUGUCGAAAAAUUUCUCUUGGUUUUUUUUUGGAUUCCCUUUGAAAACUUGCGAUUUCUUCCGGUGUUUUUCUUGGGAUUCCUCCAGCAAAUCUUCCCGGGAUAGCUCCCAGAGUGUCUACAGGAGUUAUUCCUGGAGAUAGUACUAGAACUUUUCCAAGGAUUUCUUAAGGUGUUUUCACACGAAUUUUCAGCAGGAAUUCCUUCUGGGAUUCCUAAAAAAACUUUCCAUGAGCUUUCUUUUACAGUUUCUCCCUAGAUUUCUACUGGAAUUUCAGUUGGGAUAUUUCCCAGAAAUUCUUGCGGGAUUUCUUUUAAUCAGUGUACGCAGAAUAUGGCGCAACAAGCGAAAAAUAGGCAACAAAGAAGAGACGGCAACAACGCUUUGUUUUUUCGUUAGCAGAUAAUGACAAAGAUCGUUCCCGAGUUUGUUUGCAACAAAAACGGUAGGAAUAUUUGUCUCGUUUUGUUCACAUUGUGAUUUUCGCAUUGUUUUUCAACUGAAAUUCGACUUUAAGGUUUGCAAAAGUUCUAAUUCAUCAAAAUGCUUAUGAAUUCGAUGAUGUGGGUCGAAAAUUUCAGCAGAAAAGCCGGAAUAUCAGCAAACGCACGGCAAGCGAUGUUUGUUUUAUUGCUCUCAUCGCCUGACAUGCGUUCGUUGCGGAGCGCCUUUGUUACCAACAUGUACCGCUUAUUACAAAGCGUUUAUUUUUUGACGUGAUCCGCUUUUCGUACCCUGCUUUUAAUGUAUCGCCAGAGAUUUCUCUUUGAGUUUGUACCGGGACUUCCGGUAUUAGUUCUAAGAUGUCUCUCAGUUUUUAUGGAUUUAUUCUGAACUUCGGAGCUCCUUCAGCGUUUUUUUUUGCAGCUAUCGAUGAUAUUUCUCAUGGAGUUCUUCCCGUGCUUUCUUGCAGAGCUUUUCCAGGUUUUUCUUCGUAGCUGUUUACUGGAUUACUUGUAGUGAUCCACUCGAAUUUAUUUUUAUAGAAUCUCUACCAGCAAUUAUCUUAAUAUUCUGGAUCCGUUAGGUUUUCUUUGAUAAUUACUCCCGGAGAUUGCAGAAAUUUUUAUUAAUGUCUCCUGGGAUAACUUUCGAAACUCCUUAUAGAAAAAAUCGCCAUCGUAGAAGUUCUGGUGGAAGCUGGUGGUGAAAGGUGGAAGAGGUCCCGAUAAGAAAAGGAAAGAUCGGGUUAGAGUAGAUAUAAGAAUGUGGGAAAGAGGAAAGUGUAAGAAGAAGAAGAAGAGGCUGGAAAUAAAUGUGUAAUGUAACGUUACGUGAGUCUUUUGUGCUACAGUGCGAUCAUUCCCUGCCCACGAAUAACUUGUUUAGAAGCAUGCCGACCCUGAGGUGUUGUUUCAGGGAGUCUCAGGAAGGCUCCCCUCUUGAGUUAGUCGGCACUUACAUAGUUCGGAAGGAAUUUCGGUGAAACCUAGCGAGAAACUCCACAAAAUAAAUCUCGCUAGAAACUCUAGAAGAAACCCUGAGAAAAACUGGGACAUCAUGGAAAAAAAGAUCUGAGAGUAAUCCGGCAAGAAAACUUCAGAAAUUUCAAGGAGUAACUGGGAAAACCUCUGAGAGAAUUCCCGGGAGGAAUCACGGGCAUAAUCUCGCGUGGAAAUCCAAGAGGGAUGCCUGAAAACUCUCUGGAAGUAUUUCUACACAAAUUUCGCAAAAAUUUCGAGAUUAACUGUUGGAAAGCUAUCUCGGGAAUCCAUUAAAAAAUAUUCCUUAAGAGACUUUGAAUAAAUUUUGGAACGAUCUCCAGAAGGAAUCAAACGACAAGCUCUGUAAAUUGUAUCUGGAAUUAUGGAUAGAAUUUUGAAAUCUCAUUAUUACUACACCACCAGCAAAGAGUAUAGACAUCCAAGUUCAGUGUCAAAACAGGAUGCUUCCGACAGUAUCUACACCGUUUCGGGCAUGCGGAUUCUCCCGAAUGCCCAGUGUGCAAUGGUUUAGAGGAAACGGCGGAACACGUUUUGUUCGUGUGCCCGCGUUUUCGCACAAUGCGUGACCGCAUGCUUGCCACAUGCGGGGAGGACACAAACCCGGACAACUUGGUCCAGAGGAUGUGUAGGGAUGAGUUUGGCUGGAACGCCGUUUCAACGGCUAUCACCCAUAUCGUCUGGGAACUACAGAGGAGGUGGCGCUUGGACUCGGAGAGUGGCUAGUCCAGAUGCAGUACAAGAGGUGGUCCAGGGGUUCGGAGUCGGCUUCGUAGGUCAUACCGGUGCCCUGCGGUCGAGAUCGACCCUUACAGCGAUUAAGUGGCCGUGGAGAGGAAGUCCCGGUAGCGGUGCUGUCGUGGCGUCGGUCUACUGGGUUGGAUCUGAGCCCGCGGUUGGAAAGGGGUCCCCGGCAAGGGUCGGGGCAGGUGGAGACCCUGCUGUCAGCAACCUUCUGGUGCAGCUGAUAGGUCCUGAAGGGUAGUGAUACCCUUGCCUUCAGCAGGUCAGAUCGGGUUGCACGUGGCCAUCAAUUCUUGAUGUCUGCAAAGCAGUUGGGCGCGGGCGGGGCUGGCUAAGCGCCAGCAUGUUACCGUGAUGGACUCUCCAGAGCGAGUCAUCGAUGUUCGUUGCUGCUAGGCUACGCAGCUAACCUUGAGGGUGCGAUGUGCACUAGCCCCUCUCUGAAGCAAUACCUUCUUGGUGGUUCCGGAGAGACGUAGGGUUUGGCGACCAUAGGAAUGUGUUUAGUGGGUACGAGGAGAGAAUAGUCCUGGCUUUUACUUUUGUUGGAGAAGACGGCCUCAGACCUACACUACCCUAACCUUCUGUUAGGGUGUCUGUUGAGCAGAUUAUCCCCCUAUGGUUUAGAAGAAAAAAAAAGUGUCAAAACAGGAUAAGGAAUUUAAAUGGCAAAUGAUUUAGAGAAGAAAUGAAAACAGUUAUUUCUCUAUGAAUCCAAGCUGAAAAUUCUGGAGGAACACUACUGAGAAUGUCAAAACCGAUCAAUGAAAUCGUGGUUGAUGGAAAUGUUACUAGUAUUUCGUCUGUUUGUCUAUUGUGUAUGUUUCCGUAGCCACGAUCUGAAUCGAAUAAUAUGAAAAGUGUUACGUGUCUGUUUGUUUGAGAUAUGUAUUGUGUUGUUUUCCUGUUAUAACGAACACCUUUUUGAAAAUACAUAAAAUAGGGUAGUGGAGGUAUUUUGGUCCACCUAGGCAGGCUUGUCUGCACUGAGUGCAUGAAAAUUCUGCUCUUUUGAUUUACACCACCAAAACCAUCAUAUUUAUGUAAUCUUCCUAUCUUACCUGAUAGAAGGAUGUUUGAAUAUCCUAAAUGUCAUUUCAAACUGUCAAAAAAUCGCACCGCAGUGCCACACUGUGCGUGCAAAGAGAAUUUCACCCGGGUGAAUUCACCCCAGUGAAUUUCUCUUUGCGCGCUCAGUGCGGCACUGUGGUGCGAUUUUUUGACAGUUCGAAAUGACAUUUAGGAUAUUCAAACAUCCUUCUAUCAGGUAAGAUAGGAAGAUUACAUAAAUAUGAUGGUUUUGGUGGUGUAAAUCAAAAGAGCAGAAUUUUCACGCGCUCAGUGCGGACAAGCCUGCACCUAGGGAGUUUUAAUACAUUUAAGCUGUAAUAUAUUUGUGUGUGUGUGUGUGUUUCUUGCGCUCGUGUUUCUGCUUCAUUAUUAGUCUACCGUUUAUCGUCUUCAUAAAUUGCAAAUCGGCCUUAUUAAUCGCAAUGAGCACAUCGAACGUUAGCUAAAGUGCUCCUUGCGCGAAAUCUAUUCGGUCUAUCCAAUAAAACGUAUAAUAGAGUGAUAAUCUGCAACUUAAAUCGGCUAAUAUUAGAUGUCCAAGUGGAAGAUGCAUUCUAAUACAGACCCAAGUAAUUUGUCCACAUGCAAACAGUGCUCAGAGGUAUGGUGUUGAUUGUAUUGCUUGUGAAGGCUUUUGCAAGAAUGUUUUCCACGCUGCUUGUGUAAAAUUGAAGCGCGAAGACAUAAUUACCUACCGACAAUCUUUGAAUUUUUAGUGGUUGUGUGAUCAAUGUAUCGGUCCGAUGCGAAAACACAGGAAUAAUCGCCUCAUUUUCAAUGAAAAAAUGCCUACUGCUGGACCAACGACAUCGAAUUGUGCUGAUAUUGCCCGCAUCGAUGGUGAAUUAGCUGUGUUAACCCUAAAAGGGAUACCUUCAUGGCCUCAGUUUCGUCACCUCGCUGAGUGUGUUCCAUCAAAGGCGAGCUCUGAAAGGCGCCUGGGGUCCAAAUGGACCCCAGGUAUCCCUUUUAGGGUUAAAGGAGCAAAUUGUUUCCCUACAUCAGUCGCUUGCACAAGUUACUACGUCCCGUCCCGUGUCGAAACCGGUGAAGUCGAGGAGCCAAAAGCCAAAAGUGUUUCAGGUGGUUUCAGGUGUGCUCUUGCAAAUCUCGGGAGUUUCAGAGGCGUUUCAGUGCAUUUAACGAGUGUUCCAGGUGAUCUCAGAGAAUGUCAUGAGGCUUUAGAGGUUUCAGAGGUGUUUCAGGAAGUUUCGGAGGGUUCAUGUUUCAUGUUCAUGUUCAUGACAUGCAGAUGUGUACAUUGUAGCCUACGACAAAUCGAAUGUAUAAUACACACAGAACAUUUAAUGUUUACUUGUGAAUUCAAUGCUAGAAUUAGAUGAAAGUUACAGAAAAGGUAACAAAAUGUUUGCUUCUGCUUUAUGCAACAAUGUAUUUCUGUCAUUUCGUGUAUGUACACCAUUUAUAAGGCAAUCGAACUCAACAACUUUCUGAUAUUGUUUUUCUGCAAUGCAUCUUGAACCCAUACAUUAAUGCCAGUCAAUUUCAGGGCCCCUAGCUGUUCAUGAACGGCAUACAUCAAAUCUCACAUUAUCAAUGAAACAAUUAAGACAAACGAAAAUCAAUCAUUCUGUUUUUUGAUCUUGCUCGAACCGGAUCACUCAAGUGCUACUGGUAAGUGUCUCUGAACUAGAGCGAACAACAUUCAUCAGGCUACCAACACUCACCACUCAAACGGCUGGUUGAUCAUACCUGACCACACGACUGACAAACUCGCUCAGAUUAGGACUAUGUUUCAUCCAGUGUGACAAACAUCAACUUCAAUCUGUGCGGGUUGGUCGGUCUUGUGGCGAAGAAUCAAUCCACCAACCGUUUCAGUGGUGAGUGUGGGUAGCCAACCUAAAAAAAAACAAAAAUUAUCGCACUCUUCUCCAUACGAUGCUUUGUAUACUGUCAUCGCCAAACAGCGACAAUCACAAACAGCGAACAGCUGUUUUCAAUCUGGUUGUUGCCGAGUAAGAUAGACUGACCAACGAGAAGUAAUGAAUUACAGCAAUCCACACAGGUAGGAUGAGUGGAUGAUGUACCGCGACAUCAAUAAGAACAGAAGACAGCAGAUAAAUUCUUAUUGGUGGUAGUGUACCAUCUGAUACUUGACUACUAUUGGGAUUAUUUUUGAAAUUACAAGGAAUCAAGUGUUUCCAUAUUUCUUCGUUAACAAAACCCUUAAUGAUUACUGGUACGAUAAUAUAUGUAGGUUACAGGUUUAAGGUAUUCAUGUAGGGUCACAGUCCUUAAAUUCUUAGUUUGUAUUGCAAUUCGAAAUGGUCUCCCAAGGGGACCAUCCGUAAACUACGUAAACUCUUAGGACCAAAGGUUUUUGACCAAAGUCCAUGGUGAAUUCAUAUUUUCAAAAUAUUGUAUGGCCAAGUCAGUUCCUAUCUAUGAGAUGUCAAAUCGCAUUCUACGAGUAGCUACUUCUGUAGGAAAAUGAACUCCGACUAUCAUACGUCCGAAAAGGCAACGAACACGAUCAUCAUCGUAUCGGCACUUUUUCGAAAAGUUCCACCGAGUGAUCGCCACCAAAUAUUGCAAAUAUAAACCCCGUCCGUGGUAGUGACAUUCGACCCUGCCGAGCGAGACCGGCCGUGUGCCAUGCUAUGCCGCCGUGUACUGACUGUUGGGCAUCAUCGCAUAGCAUCUCUGUGAUCUUGUGUUACACCCUCAGAGACUGUAGGCAGACGCCUUGGUUGGCAACGAAUCAGACGCGUUCUCUGAAGCUAUCUGUGGUUGUUUUGUGAUUGAUUCUAGAAGCCAGGCGAAAACCAGCUGAUUCUGAUUAAUCCGAGUCAAGACAAUAAUCCAGGUCUUUGAUGGUGGUUUUGGGUUCAAAUUGUUCGGUCACGAGUUGUUAUGAGUAAUUAGGAAAGAACACUGUGCAACAAUGAAAAACUCGAUGCAGUUCAAUGUCUGGGCCAACAUUGAGUGUCGAAGAUUGGAAUAGCAUUGGGUGGCUAUUAUUCAAUAUUCAAGCAUUCAAGUAUUGCAAAAUUAUUACACUUGCCUUGUCUAACGUGAUAGAUGGUGACAGCAGCGACGUCAUGGUCGCGAUUUUUUUUGCAGUCAAGUUCGCAGGUUGUGAACAAUCCUUGGUACCUACUUUACGUAAUUUAUGUUUAGUCCUUUACUGUCAGAGCUGUCAGAUCAGUGUAACACGUUAAAUAUAAUUUACACAAAAGGCAAUUUACACGAAAAAAAUACACUAUUAUGAAUAUUAUUGGGUUCCGGACUGGACACACCAAAUUUGAUCGUUUUCUUGGUACAUCGAGGUCUUGAAAUUAGUCUAUGAUGAUAAUUUGAUAGUUUUGGUUUUUAUUUAUUUACGCGUAAUGCUUAUUCUACACUCCUAAUAGAGUUUUGAUACCCUAGUUAAAUAAGGCGAAAUAUUAUUGUUGUUUUUCCUACGCAUGCAAUCGAAUAAUAUAAAUAAAGAAAUCUCUAUGUCUAGAAAUACUAAAAGUAGGCGUAGGGUAUAACUAUUUUGUAGGUUUCGGAUCACUUCCGGAUCACGAACUUGAGCAAAGGUUUUUGGUAUACAGUGACCGGCACAAAAAAAAAGAUCCACCAUAUAGUGGUUACAGUUUCUAAUGAAAACUACAUGCAAAAAUGAUAAAAACUAUCUUUCAAUGAAUGCACUACAUCCAUUUUACAUUGUUUAAGCAAUCUGUGUUGAACAAUAUUUGGUUUUUGAGGAAUAAAGCAAACUCAGAUAAGAUUGGGAAAAUUGCUUAAAAAUUGGGUAUGACAGAAAAAAAGAUCCACUUAGCAAUUAACUCAGAAAUUUCAAAAUAUCACCAAUUUUUUAAACGUUUUGCUUCUUGGUGUAUAAUAUUGUGAUAUUUUCGACAUAUUAAAUUUAUUUUGACAUGAGUUUUAUCAAUUUUAGGGUAAUAUGGGACGUGUUUAUUGCUCAUGGUUAAUAUAAUUGGUGAAAUUUUCCCUAAACUACAGAAUCUAUCUGUAAACAAGAAUGAAUGCUAUUCAUCUACAAUACAACAAUAAUUAAGCUUGCAGGCAUACAGGAAUGUACUUCUUUGAACAUUUUUUAUGAGUUUUGGUCGACUAAUGCAAAGAAAUGCACAUGUUGUGAAGCUUAUAAAGGAUUAUUUGAUAUUAUUUGAUAACUCAAAACACUCUCACAUUUGUGUAUCGCAAUUAUCACCACCAUCUGCUUGAACUAAAGCUUUUUGGAUGCAUAUUCUAUCAUAUACACAUUGAUAAUUAUAAAUUUUCAAAGACAUACAAAGCUGAAUUAUUGUUGUAUUGUAGAUUAAUAGCAUUCAUUCUUGCCUUCAGGUAGUUUCUGUAGUUUAGGGAAAAUUUUAUCUAUUAUAUUAGCGAUAAAAAAUAAACUCGCCCCAUAUCACCCUAAAAUUUAUUAAACUCCUGUCAAAAUAAAUUUCACAUGUCAAAAACAUCACAACAUCAUAAACCAAGAAGUAAAACGUGUGAAGAUUUGGCGAAAUUUUGAAGUUUCAGAAUUAAUUGCUGAGUGGAUCUUUUUUUCUGUCAUACCCAAUUUUUAAGCAAUUUUCCCAAUCUCAUCAGAAAUCAUGUUAUUCCUCAAAAACCAAAUAAUUUUUGAUACAGAUUACUAAAACAAUGUAAAAUGGAUGUAGUGCAUCCAUUGAAAGGUAUAUUUUAUCAUUUUUGCAUGUGUUUUUCACUAGAAAUUGUAAUCAUUGUAUGGUGGAUCUUUUUUUGUGCCGGUCACUGUAUGCACACCUACAAGAAUUAAUGAACGCUUACAGUGUCAUCUAGUACUAAAAAUGGAAACUUGUCAUUUCUGCAUACGUUUAGUCAAGUUUCAUCAUACUAAUUGCAAGCUCGUCGAGCGUAUUCUAAGGCAUCAUCAAUUUCACUGAAAUGUCAAAACAAUAGAUACAGGGAGUAAGACUACAUUUUCAAAGUCUUAUGCUUUUUAAAUGCGGGCCAUCUCAGUGGUCCUUUAAGGUGGUUAAAAAAAAUCGUUUUUGGAGGAAAUACCCGCCAGUGCUCUGUUGCCACUAAGAUGGUAAUCUCAGGUUCUACUUCAUAUUUUAGAACAAAAGCUUAUCAUUUUUUGUACUCCUUUGUAGUGCAUAUGCUGAUUGUUUUUCAGAAUCUUCUGUGCGAUAGAAAGCGAGAUUUCCAUCUUCAAAAUUGCGAGGUGAAUGUUAGAUAGAGAGGGAAGAUGGGAAAAAUAACACGGCGUCCCGUAUCACCUUAAUAAGUUAUCGAUUUUUAUCCAACUGGAUAAAACAGUGAUCCUCCAGCUUCCCAUCAGGCAAUAAUGCUGCAUAAAGCACCAAAGAUAGCACACAGAAAUCAUGGUCCGUCGCAUUACACCUUCCAUGGAAAUGUUAGCCCUCGAGCGAUCACGCUUUGUAUUUUGUACAACACACUGAAAAAAUCUCGCUUUUUUAUUCAGCAUUAGCUUGGUGCUAGCGGUGGUUGCCCAUCGCGCGACUUACGGAAGGUUAAAGAGAAGUAAUAAGAGGCCGUCACUUUGUCGCAGUGCUCCGCAAGAUCCGAAUGGACUGAAUAGUUUACCAGAAACCUUUAUACAGUAUUGUACUAUUGUACAUUGUCUAUCGUUGCUUUAAUAAGUCUAGUCUAGCUCAAUCAGGGUACUGUUAUGGUCUUCUUGUUUUCUUACCCUGCAUUAAAGCUUUGAUGCUGUGUUAAAAGAUAGGUUGUCAGCUUGAGCCUCACGCUUGUGCCACAGUAAUGCUGGCUACAAAAAACAUUGCCAUGCAGAUAUACGGUGUAUUUAGUGCAAUCAUUACUUACAUGCAAACUUAAGGUUGAUUUAAAGUGGAAGUGAACAAUUAUAGAAUCAAGUUAAGAUUAUACAGGUAUAAUCUUGGAGUAUUCGCAUAAUUACCCAUUUUCACUUUAAAUCAACUUUAAGUUGUUAACUUGUAAAGUAAUGAUUGCUCUAAGUACACCGUAUACCUGCAUGCAGUAAGGCUUCAGCAUCGUGCUUACUUGGGCUGUCAUAUGCCGGCUUCUUGGAGUCGAUGAGCAGGUGAUGCAUUGGGACUUGAUCUGACGGCAGUUCUGGAGGAUUUACCGAACAAUGAAGAUCUCGUCCGUUGACGACCGACUGUCGAUGAAACCAGCUUGAUAACAUCCCACGAAGUCAUUCGUUUUGAAUGUCCGACAAGAUGAUCUGGAAUAGGACUUUGUAGGCAUUCAAAAUACUGAUCUCUCCGAAAAUCUGGCAUUUCAAAUGUUCUCAGGAAUGGGAUGUUUUAUCCCUUCCUUCCACUCCUCUGGUAGCUAUUCGGUCUCCCAGAUCUUAACUUGACUUGAACCAGUGCAGACAGAUGGCCAACUUUUCUGGGCCCAUCUUGAUAGCUGUCAUCUGCACUAGCUGCCCUCUGCCUUGGUUUCCCGUGACUACGUUCUCCGCGUCAUUCAAGUGGCUCAUCAAAGUGCUGCUUCCACCUCUAAUCAUCUCAGGUUCGACCGCCAACAGGCUCCUGUCUUCAGAGCCGUAGCGUGGUCCCAUGGCGCCCUUGGCAAGCAUCCAGACUGGCGCCUUACGUUAAUUGGGCAUUGUUAGUUAAAAAAUGUAGUUAUUCAUUUUGUUUUCAAAGUUUCUUUAGAAGAUGGAUUUUGGGAGUCGCUCAAACAUUUUCCACAAUGUUUUUCUCCUAUACGAGCAAAAUAACGAACACACUUUGCAUUUCAAGAAUCUUUUUAAGACCAGCACAAUAAUUAGACAUAACAUUUCAGAAUUCCAACAUAAAUGAUGCAAUAACUUCUUCAAGAAAUCGUACAGUGUUGUUUUCUUUUCUGGAUUUUUUGUUCAACCGAAUUUUAUUUUUCUACUUGAUUGAGUUUUGGAGGCCACAAACGAUCUAUGUUACCAAUUUUCAGCGAUUAGUUUAAUUGGUUUUACCAAAAUUUUACAAAAAUUUUACAAAAAGUUCCUUUGGAAGUUAAAUCAAAAAUAUUUCUAAGAAGAUCAGUAAGAAAAUAUUCUGUAAUCAUUAGAUUAACUGUGGAAAUGGAGGAAUUCCUGGAGAAAUUUCUGCAAAAAAUCUCUGUGAGUUUUUUUUUUGGAGUCUCUGGAAGAGUACAUGCUGGAAUGGAUUUCAUGAAGAGAAUUACAGGAAUUCCUGGAGCAGUUUAUGAAGAAAUACAUUAAGGAAGAAUUUGAAGAAUUUGUGAAGGAAUUCCUGAAAAAAGUUAAGAAACAUUAUUUCUCUGGAGUAAUUUUCUCACAAAAUCCUUGGAGAAAUCUCUGAAAGAAUUCCGCAUUUCAAGCCUUACUUUACCAAACCCCGUAUCUAACAAAAUCCACGAACGGGGAAAAUCGAAGGGGAAGUUCGCUGUUCCCAUAGCAACUCAUACAUUGAGCAUUUCAGAAACGUGAAAAAUCCGAAUAUUUUUUUCACAAAUCAUCCUCAAAGGUGAGUGAUACAAGUAGUCUUUAACGAAAUUCAGCGCCUCAUAAGAUAAUCUCUUUUUUGUGUACAUAUGUUACAUACAGUGUUUGGUAGAGUUAGGCUUGAUUUAUGAUUUUCUGGAGGAAUUUAUGAGGAAAUUCAUUGAGGGUUUUCAAGAAUCUAGUAGAGAGAGCAGAGAAUCUUGCAGAAAUUUAUUGAGCAAUCUCUAGAGGACAUGGGAUAAUUUCUGAAGGCAUCAAUGUAAGAUUUUCCAGGCGGUGUAAGAGAUUUCUUCUUUGUAUAGGAAAUUAUAGAAGACUUUUGGUAAACUUUGGUCGAAUUUCUAAAGAAAACUUUGGAAGAUUUUCUAAAAAAAAACUAAUUUAUGAAAGAAUUUUUGAAAGAAUUCUCAGAAGGCAUUUCUUAACAAAUUCUUGGAGGCGCUUCUAAAGGAAUCUCAGCAGGAGUUUCUGUAGGAAUCCAUGGAAGAAUUAUUGAGAAAAUUUAAUUAAGGGUUUGAAGUAAACCUUAAAGAUAUUUUUGCAAGAAUCUCUUUAAAAAUUUCGGAACUCCUCCUGGAGGAAUUUCAGAAGGAAUGUUCGAGAGGAAUCUCCAGAAGAAUUUUUGAUUUGAUAUUUUUAAGAAUCCCCGAAGAAGUUUCUAUGAAAGUUUCUUAAGAAGUUAUUCAAAGAAAUCCUGAAAGAAUUUUUGGAAAGUUCUGAAAGACUU